RNAcentral lists this ribosomal RNA (550 nucleotides) under uncultured bacterium. Its description in RNAcentral is "partial 16S ribosomal RNA". It matches the Rfam family "Bacterial small subunit ribosomal RNA", at positions 355 to 895 of the family's 1533-position model. The record is from RNAcentral.
UGGGGAAUUUUGGACAAUGGGGGAAACCCUGAUCCAGCCAUCCCGCGUGUGCGAUGAAGGCCUUCGGGUUGUAAAGCACUUUUGGCAGGAAAGAAACGUCGCGGGUUAAUACCCCGCGAAACUGACGGUACCUGCAGAAUAAGCACCGGCUAACUACGUGCCAGCAGCCGCGGUAAUACGUAGGGUGCAAGCGUUAAUCGGAAUUACUGGGCGUAAAGCGUGCGCAGGCGGUUCGGAAAGAAAGAUGUGAAAUCCCCAGAGCUUAACUUUUGGAACUGCAUUUUUAACUACCGGGCUAGAGUGUGUCAGAGGGAGGUGGAAUUCCGCGUGUAGCAGUGAAAUGCGUAGAUAUGCGGAGGAACACCGAUGGCGAAGGCAGCCUCCUGGGAUAACACUGACGCUCAUGCACGAAAGCGUGGGGAGCAAACAGGAUUAGAUACCCUGGUAGUCCACGCCCUAAACGAUGUCAACUAGCUGUUGGGGCCUUCGGGCCUUGGUAGCGCAGCUAACGCGUGAAGUUGACCGCCUGGGGAGUACGGUCGGCAAGAUU